UGUCCUGUAGCUUAGUGGUAGAGCGAUCGCCUGUUAAGCGAAAUGUCGUAGGUUCAAUCCCUACCAGGACAG
This 72-nucleotide transfer RNA is filed under the name Oscillatoriales cyanobacterium USR001. It matches the Rfam family "tRNA". From Rfam's summary of the family: Transfer RNA (tRNA) molecules are approximately 80 nucleotides in length. Their secondary structure includes four short double-helical elements and three loops (D, anti-codon, and T loops). The record is from Rfam by way of RNAcentral. Lineage: Bacteria; Bacillati; Cyanobacteriota; Cyanophyceae; Oscillatoriales.